GACGGAAGGUGCAAGCGUUACUCGGAAUCACUGGGCGUAAAGCGUCCGCAGGCUCCCCAUAUAGGUCUGGCGUAAAAACGCAGAGCUCAACUCUGCGCACGUGCCGGAAACCAAUGGGGUAGAGUCACUCAGAGGCACCUGGAAUACCGUGUGGAGGGGUAAAAUCCGUUGAUACACGGUAGAACGCCAAAAGCGAAGGCAGGGUGCUGGGGGUGUACUGACGCUCAGGGACGAAAGCGUGGGGAGCGAACGGG
RNAcentral lists this unclassified non-coding RNA (254 nucleotides) under uncultured Candidatus Altimarinota bacterium. RNAcentral describes it as "uncultured Candidatus Gracilibacteria bacterium contains 16S-23S intergenic spacer region". It matches the Rfam family "Bacterial small subunit ribosomal RNA", at positions 524 to 776 of the family's 1533-position model. The record is from RNAcentral. Lineage: Bacteria; Candidatus Altimarinota.